GACGAACGCUGGCGGCGUGCUUAACACAUGCAAGUCGAGCGGUAAGGCCCUUUCGGGGGUACACGAGCGGCGAACGGGUGAGUAACACGUGGGUGACCUGCCCUUAGCUCUGGGAUAAGCCUGGGAAACUGGGCCUAAUACCGGAUAUGACUCCAUGACGCAUGUUGUGGGGUGGAAAGCCUUGUGCGGCUAGGGAUGGGCCCGCGGCCUAUCAGCUUGUUGGUGGGGUGAUGGCCUACCAAGGCGACGACGGGUAGCCGGCCUGAGAGGGCGACCGGCCACACUGGGACUGAGACACGGCCCAGACUCCUACGGGAGGCAGCAGUGGGGAAUCUUGCGCAAUGGGCGAAAGCCUGACGCAGCGACGCCGCGUGAGGGAUGACGGCCU
Molecule: ribosomal RNA, 388 nt
Filed under: uncultured bacterium
Lineage: Bacteria
Description: bacterial SSU rRNA
Rfam family: Bacterial small subunit ribosomal RNA
Source: RNAcentral